UAGGGAAUAUUGGACAAUGGGUGAGAGCCUGAUCCAGCCAUGCCGCGUGCAGGAAGAAGGCGUUAUGCGUUGUAAACUGCUUUUUGCCAGGGGAUAAAAUGAGCGUGCGCGCUUAAUUGAAGGUACCUGGUGAAUAAGCCACGGCUAACUACGUGCCAGCAGCCGCGGUAAUACGUAGGUGGCAAGCGUUGUCCGGAUUUAUUGGGUUUAAAGGGUGCGUAGGUGGCCCUGUAAGUCAGUGGUGAAAUAUCUCAGCUUAACUGAGAGGGUGCCAUUGAUACUGCAGGGCUUGAGUACAGAUGAGGUAGGCGGAAUUGACGGUGUAGCGGUGAAAUGCAUAGAUAUCGUCAAGAACACCGAUAGCGAAAGGCAGCUUACCAAGCUGUAACUGACACUGGGGCACGAAAGUGUGGGGAUCAAACAGGAUUAGAUACCCAAGUAGUCCCUGAGCGGGCUGGCAAGGC
This 464-nucleotide ribosomal RNA is filed under the name uncultured bacterium. Its description in RNAcentral is "bacterial SSU rRNA". It matches the Rfam family "Bacterial small subunit ribosomal RNA", at positions 355 to 821 of the family's 1533-position model. The record is from RNAcentral.